CCUACGGGGGGCUGCAGUGGGGAAUAUUGGACAAUGGGGGAAACCCUUAUCCAGCGACGCCGCGUGAGGGAAGAAGGUUUUCGGAUUGUAAACCUCUGUCAGUGGGGACGAUAAUGACGGUACCCACGGAGGAAGCCACGGCUAACUACGUGCCAGCAGCCGCGGUAAUACGUAGGUGGCAAGCGUUGUCCGGAUUUACUGGGUGUAAAGGGGGCGCAGACGGCCAUGGCAAGCCCGGUGUGAAAGGCAGGGGCAUAACCCCUGGACUGCACUGGGAACUGUCAGGCUGGAGUGCCGGAGGGGUAAACGGAAUUCCUGGUGUAGCGGUGAAAUGCGUAGAUAUCAGGAGGAACACCGGCGGCGAAGGCGGCUUACUGGACGGCAACUGACGUUGAGGCCCGAAAGCGUGGGGAGCGAACAGGAUUAGAUACCCCGGUAGUC
Molecule: ribosomal RNA, 441 nt
Filed under: uncultured bacterium
Lineage: Bacteria
Description: partial 16S ribosomal RNA
Rfam family: Bacterial small subunit ribosomal RNA
Source: RNAcentral